This 909-nucleotide ribosomal RNA is filed under the name uncultured bacterium. RNAcentral's name for it is "bacterial SSU rRNA". It matches the Rfam family "Bacterial small subunit ribosomal RNA", at positions 33 to 931 of the family's 1533-position model. The record is from RNAcentral.
ACGCUGGCGGCAUGCUUUACACAUGCAAGUCGGACGGCAGCACAGAGAAGCUUGCUUCUUGGGUGGCGAGUGGCGAACGGGUGAGUAACAUAUCGGAACGUACCGAGUAGUGGGGGAUAACUGAUCGAAAGAUCAGCUAAUACCGCAUACGUCUUGAGAGGGAAAGCAGGGGACCUUCGGGCCUUGCGCUAUCCGAGCGGCCGAUAUCUGAUUAGCUAGUUGGUGGGGUAAAGGCCUACCAAGGCGACGAUCAGUAGCGGGUCUGAGAGGAUGAUCCGCCACACUGGGACUGAGACACGGCCCAGACUCCUACGGGAGGCAGCAGUGGGGAAUUUUGGACAAUGGGCGCAAGCCUGAUCCAGCCAUGCCGCGUGUCUGAAGAAGGCCUUCGGGUUGUAAAGGACUUUUGUCAGGGAAGAAAAGGCUGUUGCUAAUAUCAGCGGCUGAUGACGGUACCUGAAGAAUAAGCACCGGCUAACUACGUGCCAGCAGCCGCGGUAAUACGUAGGGUGCGAGCGUUAAUCGGAAUUACUGGGCGUAAAGCGAGCGCGGACGGUUACUUAAGCAGGAUGUGAAAUCCCCGGGCUCAACCUGGGAACUGCGUUCUGAACUGGGUGACUAGAGUGUGUCAGAGGGAGGUAGAAUUCCACGUGUAGCAGUGAAAUGCGUAGAGAUGUGGAGGAAUACCGAUGGCGAAGGCAGCCUCCUGGGAUAACACUGACGUUCAUGCUCGAAAGCGUGGGUAGCAAACAGGAUUAGAUACCCUGGUAGUCCACGCCCUAAACGAUGUCAAUUAGCUGUUGGGCAACUUGAUUGCUUAGUAGCGUAGCUAACGCGUGAAAUUGACCGCCUGGGGAGUACGGUCGCAAGAUUAAAACUCAAAGGAAUUGACGGGGACCCGCACAAGCG